AACGAACGCUGGCGGCAUGCCUAACACAUGCAAGUCGAACGAGAUCUUCGGGUCUAGUGGCGCACGGGUGCGUAACGCGUGGGAAUCUGCCCUUUGGUUCGGAAUAACAGUUGGAAACGACUGCUAAUACCGGAUGAUGACGAAAGUCCAAAGAUUUAUCGCCAGAGGAUGAGCCCGCGUAGGAUUAGCUAGUUGGUGUGGUAAAGGCGCAACAAGGCGACGAUCCUUAGCUGGUCUGAGAGGAUGAUCAGCCACACUGGGACUGAGACACGGCCCACACUCCUACGGGAGGCAGAAGUGGGGAAUAUUGGACAAUGGGCAAAAGCCUGAUACAGCAAUGCCGCGUGAGUGAUGAAGGCCUUAGGGUUGUAAAGCUCUUUUACCAGGGAUGAUAAUGACAGUACCGGGAGAAUAAGCUCCGGCUAACUCCGUGCCAGCAGCCGCCGCCG
RNAcentral lists this ribosomal RNA (449 nucleotides) under uncultured bacterium. RNAcentral describes it as "partial 16S ribosomal RNA". It matches the Rfam family "Bacterial small subunit ribosomal RNA", at positions 29 to 523 of the family's 1533-position model. The record is from RNAcentral.